CACUCUCCUCUCCCGUCUGACCAGCACAUACUUGCACACUGUGGUGGCUCCCGCUGCAGGCCGGCCACGAGGCUGGCAGGUCCUUGGUUGUCUAUGGCCCACUUGUACAGUGCACCAGAUGGUAGGUCUGUGACAUGGUGGUCAGAAGGCGUGUGUCUGUUUUCUCUCUCCUGUGCUGCUCUGUGUGGUGGUAGGUAUGGUUCUGGGUAUCUAAGGUCUAUUUGUGCUGUGGGGCAGAGGGCAUGGCUGUGUCUUCCACCCAUGUUGUGUGGCUUGGUGGCAAGUUGGUGUCGAUGGCUUGCCUGUGCUGUGUGCUGGAGACGGCAGGUCUAUGGGUGGCAUGGCUGUCUGCUGGUCUCUGUAUGUCUUCUUCCUUUUGUGCUUCACAGCUUGGGUUUGAUUUGAUUUGGGCUUUAUAAAUCCUAGGCAUAAGGCAUCUUUGCACACCAAGCCAGGCAUCAAGCUAGGAUGAACAAAGGAUUGCCAUCUACUCUACCCCUGACGAUGAAUUCUUGCUGUUGAUUGCAAGUUAGCUGCAGUGUGAACUGCAGACUGAGAAAGAGUCAAGGAACUGCCACCUACCUUGGACCACAAGGUCUGCUGGAGGCAGAAAUCAGGAGGUGCGAUAAGGAGACACAAGCCCUUUAAAAUGCACAGUCAAUUAGAGUGUCCCCGAAGACUCUCUCAAGUUUUCCUUAAAGAGUCUGGCGAGUUGCAGAAGCUCGAGGCCCAGCCAAUCUUACUUCGUCUCUGCUCUCUCCUGUUUAAAAUACCAAAUUAUUUUGCAGUGCUGAGCUGGUGGUUGCCAGCUGAAAUUUUAAGUGGAAUUAAUGACCAGAGCUGAUGUCUGGAAUCCACAAAUAGGCCAGGACUGCAGCACAUCCAAGGUCACUGAACCUGGAUGAGUAAUGCUAAUAGCUGUGGAAAAAUCCAGAGCAAACAGAAAAAAACCCGUGUGUGCAACUGUGAAAAGAGGACUUGUGUCGCUACACCAUCUGGGACGACUAUUUACCUUCGAAGUAAUUACACUUGAGUGGCCUCCAGGUUGAACAACUGAAGUGACUCAACAGAGAAUUGCGAAAGGGGGAACAAAAGGAAGUGUGGUGCUUUAAGGUCAAUUGUGGAAUCUUUUAACUUAUAUACUUUUUUUACAUAAUAAAUAAUUUACUUU
Molecule: long non-coding RNA, 1171 nt
Filed under: Mus pahari (shrew mouse)
Lineage: Eukaryota; Metazoa; Chordata; Mammalia; Rodentia; Muridae
Description: lncRNA (MGP_PahariEiJ_G0005887.1)
Source: RNAcentral